CACGUAGGCGGUGAAUUAAGUUGAAAGUGAAAUCCCAAAGCUUAACUUUGGAACUGUUUUCAAAACUGAUUCACUGGAGUUCGAUAGGGGAUAGUGGAAUUUCUAGUGUAGAAAUAGAAUUCAUAAAUAUUAGAAGGAACACCAGUGGCGAAGGCGACUAUCUGGAUCGAUACUGACGCUGAGGUGCGAAAGCAUGGGGGAGCAAAACA
Molecule: ribosomal RNA, 209 nt
Filed under: uncultured bacterium
Lineage: Bacteria
Description: partial 16S ribosomal RNA
Rfam family: Bacterial small subunit ribosomal RNA
Source: RNAcentral